AAGAUCUUCAGGUAUGGUAUCUCUGAGCAGGUGAUUUGGUCCUCCUGGCAUUUCAGAAGCCAUCUACAAAAAGGAGCUACAACUCUAAGUGGAUAAUUAAGAGUCCUCUCCAAAGUGGUGUUGGAGUUUCCACAGUAGUGAGUCUGUCCUCUUGCCAAUGCUCUUUUCAUGCUAGAGGAGGCCCUGCAUCAUGAGUUUGGUGUAAAAGGGUCUUGGAAUAGACCGAAACAUUUAGAAAGUCCACUUAUCUUCUUGUUUCUUUUGUCACCAGUUCAGUGGGCAUGGCUGUUACUACAGGACUAUAUCUGAAUGAAUAUCUGUUUGCAUUUCACAUUGGUAGGACCUGGCUGACCUGAAAUUAGAAAGAUAUGUCAAUGUUCACGCAAUUCAGGUGAACACGAACCAUAACUGACCUUCGUGGAUGUUUCCAUCAGACAUGCAUAAAGCAGCUACAUGGUUUUCUCGCCGCAUGUUCACAAAGCAUUAUUGCAUAGGCUCAUCCUCCAGGAGGAAAUCCUGUUUUGGAUUCUGUGUUCUAGAAUGCAUUUCCAAAGUGGAGAAGGCCAAACUCUUCCAUCUGCAGAGGUUUUUGUUUUAUGUCAAGAUAUCCCAAAUUUUCAUUUGUCUCACUUGUGUGGGUUUUUCUUUCUGAUAACAUUCAAGUCUGCUGAAAGAAAUAAUUAUGUCUAAUUAUUUGAUUUGUAAGAGGUCACUUGCUGCUCUUUAUACUGUUUAAUGCUGUACAUAAUAAAAGAAGAUCUUAGUUAAUGCUUUUGUCACUAACUUUGUCAUUGCCACUUGUUUUAAUUUCUCUCUCUCUUUGGACAUUUUUCAAUCUUUCUUUCCUGAAGUGAGAGUCUUGCACAGAUGCUCUCAUUAGACAGGGAAAAAUAUUAAUUUAUAAUUCUCCUUCUCUGAAAAGAUCCUCUUUCAGGAUUCUCGUUCACCUGCCUGGUUCCUCUAAGAGUCUUUUAACUUUGAACUUUUUUUAAAGACAGCUUUCUCUUACACCUUGUUUCUCAUUUUUUGUCUGAGGUGCAUUUUUUUUAUUUGUAAUCUCACAUUGAUCAUCUUGAAUGGUUUUUUCUUUCUCUUACCUUCAUGUGCUGCUCAAUAUAAGAACUGAAUAAUUAGAAGGCAGCACUUUUAGAGUCAGCAGUAGAGGCGUGGAAUAGGUAACAGGGGGCCUCACUUGCAUUCUGUAUCUCACUACCGCUAACCUUAAGGGUCAAAAACCUUGAGAGUAAGAACAGUUCUAUCAGCUUUUCACUAAGGAGUCACAGCUUGGGUGUGAGAAUCCUGCAAGAUAUCCUUUUCAGAAUAAAAAGUAAAUACUUUUCCAAUUUUCAUUUCCCCACACCAACUGAUAGAGUUUGGGUUUUAUUUGGUAGUGAAUUCUAUAAUUAAAGCUGUAAAACAGUUUCCUCUCAUAGCUACCUGUAGCUUACAACUUUGGGAUUUAAAUUUUCCAUAGCUGGUUCUUCUCCAAAAGUUACUUGGAAUUUUUUUUUUUUUUUUUUUUUUUUUUUUUACAAAAUCCCUUUUAGUCCCAUUGGAGUUGUGAGAAAGUGGUAAAAAUAGUUUUUCAGCAAAAAACCUGAAUUUCAAAACCUGAAAUUUCAGAUGAUCUUUAAUGAGCAUUAAUGAUUUUGCAAGGCAUGGGGGUGGGAGCUGGAAAUUGGUUUAGAUUUAAUAGUGUCUGUUUGAAAAUGGCAUAGUGCACACUUCAAGAGGGAUGUGUUAUAUGGACAGCUUGAAAAGAUGCCAAGGUAGAUUCAGGCUUUGCCAGACUGUUCAUGUGGAUCCUUUUACCUAUAUCUCAAUCUUCUUAUUUCCCCCCAAAAUUGUGUCAAUCUGAAGGUGUGAUUACUAAAAAUCUCAUAUUCAUUUCACAGGGCUAAGGGACUUUUUGCACCUCAGAAUGCGUUAAGACUCCCAGAGCCUUGGAAACAUGAAAUAGAUAUUUGGGGAACAAGUCCCAAAGCAUUUCUUCAUCAUUCUCUUCCCUUGCUGGGAAACAGGUUCUCAGGCUAGUGUUUAGCUCCUUUUAUUCCUGUGGGAUAUAGGUCGUUAGUCUAUCCCUUGGCUGGAGGGAAUAGCCCAUUCAAUACUAACUUCAUGGAGGCUCUAGAUUAGUUCUUGAACAUCCUGCAAUAGUGCAUUUAUGGAGUACAUGUAUAUGGCACACUUAAAGAAGUGUGCAUUAGCGGUACUAGCGUACUGCUUAUUACAAGAAACACAACUGUGCUUUCAGAAAUUCUGCAUGCACCCAGAUGUUUUUCUUUCUUUAAAAAACAUCUAGAGGCAUUUUUAAAACAACUAACAAAAUCAUCCAAAGCAUAGGACUUGAUGGUCAUGGUGGACUUCAGCUACCCAGACAUCUGGAGAAAAUAAUACAGCAGGGCACAGAUUAUCUAGCAAGUUCUUGGAAUGUAUUUGAGACAAUUUUUUUUAUUUCAGAAACUGGAGAAAGCUACUAAGGGAGAGGCUGUACUAGAUCUGUUUUUUAACAAAUAGGAACUGGUUGAGAAUUUGAAAGUGGAAGGCAGCUUCAAUGACAGUGAUCUUGAAAUGAUGGCGUUCGUGAUUCUAAGAAAAGGUUGGAAGGAAAACAGCACAAUAAAGAUAAUGGAUUUCAAGAAGUCAGACUUUAUCAAACUCAGGGGGUUGGUAGGUAAGAUCCCAUGGGAUGCAAAUCUAAGGGGAAAAACAGUUCAAGAAAGCUGGCAGUUUUUUAGAGAGACAUUAUUAAGAGCAAACCAGCCCAUUGCAUAGGAAAGAAAGGAAGUAUGGCAAGAGACCACCCACUUUCAAUGAUCAGAAAUGCAAUAAAGAGUCCUACUAAAAGUGGAAACUAGGUCAAAUUACAAAGGAUUAAUAUAAACAAAUGAAACAAAUAUAUAGGGACAAAAUUAGAAAAGCCAAGGCACAAAAUGAGUUUAAACUAGCUAGAGACAUAAGGGUAACAAGAAAACAUUCUACAAGUUAGAAGCCAGAGGAAGACCAAGGACAGGAUAGACCAAUUAUUCAAUGAGGAGUGUGGGAACAAUAACAGAAAAGGGUAAAUGGCAGAUGUAUUAAAUUACUUUUUUGUUUCAGUUUUCACCAGAAAGUUUAGUAGCAACUGAACAUCUAAUAUAGUGAAUGCCAGUGAAAAUGAGUUAGGAUCAGAGGCUAAAAUAGGGAAAGAACAAGUUAAAAAUUACUUAAACAAGUUAGAUGUCUCCAGCAGGGCUUUGGAGAGGAGCCCGGAGCUGGAACGCGGAGCAGUGGAGCUGCAGGUUUUUGCCUGGAGCUGGAGUGAAGCCAGAGUACAGAAAAUCUUGACUGCUCCAGUUUUUUUUUAAAUUUUCAAUCCAAAAUGAAUUAUAUUUAGCAAGAAAGCCCUAAAAGUGCCAAAAAGUUUCAGAUUGUAUAACCAUUGAUAUUAACAUCUACUUUACCACUUUACGUAAUAUGUCAUAGUUAUUUUCACUUCAGCCAAAAUCAAGUUUAAUGUACAGAUACAAAAUUACAAAGUUUUCUGGAGAUAUGUUUUAUUAAAGAAUCAGAUAAUUAUCAGACAUCCGGCAACACUGCAGACUUCUCCUACCCUUGUGCCAAGGUUAGGCUAGUACGUACUCACGUAGAUUAGUUAGAUAGAUUAGUAUGUGUUGAUACUUCUUUUGUAAGAGUUGAUCAACGAGACACGCUGAGUGCUGCAAUUAUGGAAAAGUGUGACGUAAGAUGCAACAUUUAAGAUAUCACAAACAGAUCAUAACAAGAAACAUUUGGAUGCGGUAGCACCACAAGAAGAUUUGGCCACGGCUUCAACAAAAAAGUCAAAUCUGCCCCCCAUGAUUGAUAGCUGAUUUAUGGAAAAGGAUCUCAACAACGUCUUUACUUUUGAAUUUGAAAAGCCCAAAUUUGGGCAUUGGGAAAGGAAAGAAGAAAUCAGCAAUGUGCAAGGUGGAAAAGGAAGUGAAUGGUGAGCUCAAACCAUGUAGCUUCAAGACAAGUGAAGCAAGUGCCAUGAAAAGUUUCAAUCUUUGGCAGCAUGUGAAAUGUAACCAUCCUGAAAACUAUGCGGCUCUGGUUACAAAAAAAGGAUCAGGAAGAUAAGGCAAAACAGAAAGCUGACGCGGCUAAACAAUGUUCAUCUGGCUCUUUGAGAAAAGAUCUUUUGCAGAGCUUCGUCUGAAAAGAAACCCAAAAUUGAGCAAACAAAACAUGACUCAUAUAUGAAGUCCUCAAAGGUUACAGUCACCAUGGAUGCCAAUACUUUCUGUGAAGGGCUGAUUGAAAUGGUUUGCUUGAGUUCAACACCGCUCACUACCUUCAGGCUUAAGAACAAAGGAUUCCAAAAAAUUGCAGGUGAAAUGGGUCGGCAGCUUGGUGUUUUGAUGGGCAUGAUGCAGUUUGUCAUUUAGUUGUUGGCACAGCUGAGUCUGGUUGCGAAGAGCUCAAGAAAGCUUUGGAGCAAAAAUUGUGCUACCUGAAAAUGGAUGUGGAAACAGAAAUUUCCUUGCAAUCAAUGCUCAGUACUAUGAAGACUGAAAAGAUAAAGCUGUGGUAAAAACCUUGGACAUAAUCAACACUGAAGGGCAUCACAAUUCUUUGUACGUGAAAAGUCAAGUAAAAGCUAUUUUAGAAAAAAUUGGGAUCAGUGAAAUGCAAGUGCUGAGCAUCUGCAUUAAAAAUGAAGAAGAUAUGACCUGUGUCUUCAAAAAUUUUUCAGCGAGGACAAUGAAACCAUUUCUACCUCUGAGAAUAGGGAUGUGGACAGAACUGAAGGUAUUUUGCCCGAUGAAGGAACUAAAGGAAUGGAUGAAGUCAAACUCAACAUGGAUGCUGCUGCGCAACGAGUUAAUGACCCUAGCCUCAUACUUCCAACAUGGCUUCAUAAGGAUGACUCAAAGUCCAACUGAUGAUGUGUGGUAUUCACACUCUUCAGUUGGCAAUCUGUAAUGGACUGAACAAGGAACAUGUGAAGAAAUUUCUAGGAAAAAUUCGACAAGUCAUUGUCAAACUACGAACUCCAAGGAUUCAAAGUGUUCUGCUUGAUCUACAUGGAGUAACUCAAUCAUUGGAUUCUGUGACUCACUGGGGUUCAAUAUUUGCGAUGAUUGAUCGGCUUCUCAUUUUUCAAUCUUACUGUGAACAAGUGGCUGCUGCUGGAACAAGAGAACUCAAGUUAACAAAAGCUGAAUGGGAUGAAGUGAAGAACCUGCGAGACCUCUUGACAAAGCUGAAUCAAACAACCGUGAAUUUUCAAGCUGUUGAUGUAACCCUGGGAGUUUUAAUGAAGGAAUGGUGAAAACUGUCAAAAUUCUUGCAAGAAAAUGGUGGACAAAUUGUGGAAGGAAUUAUAUCCUCCAGAAAUGCGAAGAGAAGCUUUUUGACAAUAUUCAUUUCCUUGCUGGAGUUUAUGUUGAUCCAUGGUAUCGGAUUCUUCUUACCUCAAGGGAAAUACCAAAGGCAAAGGAAGGGCUCCUUGAUAUUGCUCGACGACUCAAAAAACAAAAUCUGUUGCUACAUUUGAAUUUGGCGAAAGGUUGAAGAAAACAAAACACAAGAAAAGGAGUCAUCAACAAUAGAAUUUGCUGUUUCGGAAAGUUCACAUCCUUCAGAAAUAGCAGGCUGUUCUCAAACUUCUGUCUCCACUCUGAACUUGUUCAAGCAUCCAUCCCUGAGAAGUCUUCAACCAUCACGGGGAACUGGAGAUAAUUCGAGCAUCAAUUCUUCAGAAGAUGAGUUCGAAAAGGAAUUGGAUAAACAGGAAAGACGCCGGCGAGUUUCUGCGAUUUAUAUUUGUAAUGAAACAUUAUUUGAGAGAAACUUUUGAGAAGAUUGUGAGGCAAUGGAGUCUAUUUGUAGGCUAAAAGUUAAGUCUGGUUUUGAGGCCAUUUACAGCUACCCACACCGCAUUCAGGCUGCCUGUAGAAUUGCUUUGAGCAUGCCAACAACUCAAGCUAGUGUAGAGUUACUGUUUUCGGCUUUAAAGUUAAUUUCAAAUAGUUUGCAGCAGGCUAUGAAAGGCAACUUGAUUGCUGCAAUGAUUUGUUACAGAAUGAAUUAUGAACGAUUCUAGUUUGUAUCAUUGUUGAUGACAUUUAAAUUGUUUUAAAAGUCUGAAUAAAAAUAAUGUUUUUUCAAAA
Gopherus flavomarginatus (Mexican gopher tortoise) is the source of this 6137-nucleotide long non-coding RNA. RefSeq lists it as uncharacterized. The record is from RefSeq and is a predicted model, not a curated record. Lineage: Eukaryota; Metazoa; Chordata; Testudines; Testudinidae. The transcript is spliced from 2 exons.